Molecule: ribosomal RNA, 162 nt
Filed under: uncultured bacterium
Lineage: Bacteria
Description: partial 16S ribosomal RNA
Rfam family: Bacterial small subunit ribosomal RNA
Source: RNAcentral
CAUGCCGCGUGUGUGAAGAAGGCCUUCGGGUUGUAAAGCACUUUCAGUGGUGAGGAAGGGGAGUUGGUUAAUACCCAGCUUCAUUGACGUUAGCCACAGAAGAAGCACCGGCUAACUCCGUGCCAGCACCUGCGGUGACUGAGCGGGCUGGCAAGGCGCAUA